RNAcentral lists this small RNA (4946 nucleotides) under Human betaherpesvirus 5. Its description in RNAcentral is "RNA4.9". The record is from RNAcentral. Lineage: Duplodnaviria; Heunggongvirae; Peploviricota; Herviviricetes; Herpesvirales; Orthoherpesviridae.
CCCCCACCCCGCUCCUCCCCGGGCUCCGGCCCGGGAUCCCUCGCUGCUCCCGGCGGCCUCCGCCGGCUUCCCGGUCCACCCGCCGCGGAACGGACGGGACCCGGGGUCCGCGCCCUUCCCCUCCCCCCACGGGGGGCUGGGUCGCGGACCCCGGUUCCUAGGCUCGUUCCGCGGUGGGCGACCGGGGAUCCCCCACCCCGCUCCUCCCCGGGCUCCGGCCCGGGAUCCCUCGCUGCUCCCGGCGGCCUCCGCCGGCUUCCCGGUCCACCCGCCGCGGAACGGACGGGACCCGGGGUCCGCGCCCUUCCCCUCCCCCCACGGGGGGCUGGGUCGCGGACCCCGGUUCCUAGGCUCGUUCCGCGGUGGGCGACCGGGGAUCCCCCACCCCGCUCCUCCCCGGGCUCCGGCCCGGGAUCCCUCGCUGCUCCCGGCGGCCUCCGCCGGCUUCCCGGUCCACCCGCCGCGGAACGGACGGGACCCGGGGUCCGCGCCCUUCCCCUCCCCCCACGGGGGGCUGGGUCGCGGACCCCGGUUCCUAGGCUCGUUCCGCGGUGGGCGACCGGGGAUCCCCCACCCAGCUCCCCUUCCCGGCUCGCCCCGCUGGCUUUUGGGCCCCUCCGGGCUUUUUUUCCGGCUGGGGGUCGCGGCGGCCGGCCGACGACGGUAGGUGGGCCGGGCGGACGGUGGUGGGGACGGGCGACGCCCCGGCUCGACGGCAGUCGGCCCCGGAGGGUUGGGGGCUGGGGGCCCGGUCAGGAGCUCCGGGAGCGGGGUCGACCGCGACGGCUUCCGGGUCUCGCGGCGGCUCCCUCUCGGCGGCUCCGGUUGGGCUCCCCUCCCCCCUCUCGAGGGUCCGGUCGCCGGUUGUGGUCGGGGGUCCCUCGGCCUAGCCGCCGGCUCUCGGUCCGCCUUACCCUGGGCGUUGGCCGGUCCCGUGACGCUCCCCUCCCCCGCUGCUCCCCAAAAACUCCGCCCGAACCGUCGCGGUUUGCUGGCCCUGGGCGUGGUCUCCCCACUCCCCUCCCCCCAUCGGCCGCCCAGCCGGGGUCGGCGCCUCGGACCCCACCAGGCUGUGGCGUGUGUGCUGGCCGAUGCGGCGGCGAGGUUGGGUGUGGCCGGAAGCGCUCGGGGUCGACGGUGGGCCGCCAUGACACCUCAAUUGCCGUCAGUACGCCCCUCCACAAUCACCGUCCCCACACGAUGGGCCCGGCAGUUCACCCAACGUUGGUUCAGGCCCAGUCGGGUUUUUCCCCGGUACGAACGCACGUCCCCGUGGGCUCCACGCGUUUUCCACCCUUUCCUGGAGGGGUCCGGAACACCGUGAAUCCACGGGGAGGGUCCCGGCACGGGCCGAGGAGACCACGACCGUCCCACCCGGCGUGUCGACUCGUCCGAGACCCGGGAAGGGAACAGGCCCCACCUUUUUUCCCUUCUCCGAUUUGCCGUGGAAAACCCGUGAACCGAUACGGGUGCAGACGGCCGAAAAAAUUCGAGACGGCAAUACGACGGCAGGGCGUGAUUUUCUCCCCCACCCGACAAAACCGUGUCCCUCAAAAUUCCCCACCUUUCUCUGUUCAAAUGGCCCCGAAACUGUAAAACACCGUUUGACCGCACCCCAACCGGCGCCAUCUUGGUGACCUUCUCGACGGUUCUCUCGCUCGUCAUGCCGUUCUGAGCUCCGACAUGGCGGACGAGAGAAAAUGGCGUCGAGAGCCGAGGAGCGUUUUCGCUCCAGGCGGGUAAAAAAAUAGCACGAUAACUUUUCUGUGCUUUUUUGAGACGUUUUUGAAGAGCUUUUUUUCUGCUCAGAGCGAAAAAAUGAUAGCCCUGAAAAUCUCGACGAGUCUGGCCGAGCGGCGCCAUCUUGGAGGAGGGGCGAGUCGCGGGCACCGCCUCGGUACCCCCUGGCCGAGGCGAGUCCGCGGUCGCCGCCUGUUCCGUGAUGCUACCUAGAGGGCGCCGUCGAGGCGACUCUUCCUGUUUUCGCCCUGAGGGCUAACGGUCGCUGACGUCAAACCAUCUCGUGCUCGCUGAGUCACAUCCGGUUGUUGACAAGCGAUGGAGGACCGCACCCAAAGUGCGCCCUCUAGUCAUCGCGCCUGACCCCUUUUAUAAACUGCUCGAAGAAAAGAACACCUUAUGUGAAAAAAUACAGAAUGAUGACAAGUUCAUUCAACACAACCGCUCAACAACGCCAUAUCUAUCAGUGUCCAAAAACUAUCUUCUAUCCUUUGAAACUAUAAAUGCUGCCUAUAUACAUAUUUAGUAUCCAAGACUCUUACCACGUAGACGAAAAGAAGUGAUACAAUGAUCUUGACGUGUAUCGUCUAUAUCGUGCUAGAUAUAUUCAGAUAAGACGCGCAAACCAUAGAUUUCUCAUCAGUAUCAUGAAAGACCUAUAGCUCUAUAUACGAACCUAGUCAUUUUAGGACAGCCGCCGGAGAAGCCGACGAGGGAUCGGGCGGGUGCAGCCAGAACCUCACGCCCGAUCCCGCCUCCGGUAGGCGAUUUGCAUCUGUUUGGUAAAAAGCUCAUAAGUCUGUAUGUGACCUAUAUAUAUAUUAUACGCUAUGUACACCGAACUGUCGCUGUUGUAUAAGAAGAAAAAACUCUCCAUAUUUAUAUCGUCUGAAUUUUUGCUUGAUAGACACGUGUUUGGAACUCUGUCCCCCCACGUUUUCACUGUGUAUAACAAAAAUAUGUGUUUCUCAAAAGAUCUUGAGGUGUUUGAAAACGGGGGAAACCUGCGUUUGGGUGCGCUAAGCCCCGGACUGGGACGUAGCCGGCGUCCGGCACCUAUAUUUUUCUAUUUUUUUUUUACAAAAUAUAUGAUGAACCAAGAAUAAAACUCUAGCUCUCGUCUAUUUUUAAUAUGCUCUACUUAGAACCUUUUUAAUGACAGAAUGAACUCCAUGUUAUACGCUCUUUAUAUAGUUUCUCUGCACUAACCUUUAAAACCGUAUCCUUCCCUGUUGUACAAAUCAUCUUUUGAUACACAAUGAUGACCUGAUAUCCCUCCAUAUAUAUGAUCGGAUAUUAUUCCGUUAGACUUGUCCUCCUUUUUUUUCCUCAUCUCCUGUAUCUGGAGAUAUAUGUUGACCACCACCGCCAUGACCACCAAAAAGCUAGCCGUCACGACUAGAAAUGUGUAGGAUUCGGACUUUCCGUUUGAGAAGAAAGAGACCGCGUCUCUGGACGCUCUUUUUGUCGGUCUGAAUCGACCCGGGAUACGUAAGAGAGCGGCCCUACAUCGGGGGGCGCUCGAGACCGACGACGUUCCAUCUGACCAGAAAAAAAAAGGCACCCCUCGGUGGCGACCUCUCACCAUCGUUUGCCCGUCCGCCCGUCCUUCGUAGCCAUCAUCAUCAUCUCAGGCUCUAUCGGUACCAUCGUUGUCAUCUGAAAAAAAAAACUGCCUCACCCACCUGCGUAAAAACACCAUCUUUCCGGAGGUGCGGUAAGACGGGCAAAUACGGUCGUGCCGAGGCAAAAAAACGCACCAUCGACACCACACCCUCAUGAGCACCACCUGUCGGUGUUGGUCGUCCUCCAUCGUUCUCUACGAACAUCUCGACGCCCGGGUGACGGACGACGGCAAGACGUCCCGGAGAAGACGGUGUUCUCUCGGGCGGUACGCUCUCUGGAUCUAUAAUAUCUAUAGUAGCUAAACGAGACUGUGAGUACGACGAACCACAUCAUCUUUUUUUUAUGUUGCUUCUUUAGAAAAUGACUUAUGUCGACGACACUCGGCAUCAGCCAUCUCGUGAAACACGCUCGCUUUUCGUCUCUCCAAGGAACACUGGGUCCGCUGAAAGGGACCGUGUACCGACCAAAGCAAAAAACACACACGUAGUAACAUGAUCAACCACGUCUGAAUGACACGAAAACACAAUCGUAUAACGCUCUAUUCAUGGAACGAACUUGGAAUAAAAAAACCAUCGCAGGCCAGAGGCUAAGCCGAAACCGUCCGGGGAAGCGGGCGCGAGUUUUCCGACUUAGUCUCUGGUGCUCGUUGAGCCUCUUUUUUUUUUCCUGAUUCUCUGAAGAAUCACCGUCACAGCCCUAUGACGCGAAAUCAAUUGCUAGAACAUAAACGUUCUCAACAGGUAUGAAAUGAACAAACUAGAUGAUGCUAUAACCUUAUAUUGUGUGUAUAUAGAUAGGUGUGAAAUUUGUAGGAUAAAAAGUGUCGUUGUAUGAUGCACAACGAUCGUGAAACUGGAGACUGUAGCUCUCUACCGAAUGCAAAUACACAAAUGACAUCGAUUCCCGUCCCCACAUAAAGAAAUGUGCUUUACUGUGAAAGAAUGAAGAAGAUUCUUGUUCCUCGUACGACGGGGCCCUCGCUCGUCGUGCCUCUUCCCCCCUCCGGGAGAGGGGACGUCGGGGCCCUCCGUCGCACCGGGCCGAAGCCAGUGAAAUGUUUACUACACUGUCAUCAGAAUAUAUGAUGUAUAUUAUUUCCUCCAAACUCCUCACCAUAGCCACCAAUUCGCAUCACUUAAGAAAGUAGUAGCAACCGCGGCGGCGGCGACCGGCCGGUCGUCGUCUCCUCGUCCUCAAAUGUUGUACAUGUGCAGAAAAAUGUGUAAAUACGUGUUAUUUAUCCCAUGCGUCUUGUACAUAGAUAUAUGUUUUUAUAUACGCUAUUUAUACUUUAUAUAUCCUUUUGCAUAACCAUAGACAGUCAAGGAUUUUAAUGAUUUGCUCAUCCGCCUUUGAGCCAUCGCUUAGGAGUUAGUUCCUCUAUGUUCUCGGCCCACCUUUUCGACUACAGUAGCAAACCCUUGUACUACCACCCCGAUAAAAACCACAUCAUCAUCGUCACCACGACCUGGAAACGACACACGUUCCCCCCCAAUCUUGGGCAUGUGUAUAUAUAAAAAGAAUGGGAGGGAGAGGACGUGGGGCUCGAGAAGAAAUAAACGCCAAGCUCGAUUCGAACC